GCCAGGAUAGCUCAGUUGGUUAGAGCACAGCACUCAUAACGCUGAGGUCGUGAGUUCGAGUCUCACUCCUGGUACAA
RNAcentral lists this transfer RNA (77 nucleotides) under Candidatus Moraniibacteriota bacterium. RNAcentral's name for it is "Candidatus Moranbacteria bacterium (groundwater metagenome) tRNA-Met". It matches the Rfam family "tRNA". From Rfam's summary of the family: Transfer RNA (tRNA) molecules are approximately 80 nucleotides in length. Their secondary structure includes four short double-helical elements and three loops (D, anti-codon, and T loops). Further hydrogen bonds mediate the characteristic L-shaped molecular structure. tRNAs have two regions of fundamental functional importance: the anti-codon, which is responsible for specific mRNA codon recognition, and the 3' end, to which the tRNAs corresponding amino acid is attached (by aminoacyl-tRNA synthetases). tRNAs cope with the degeneracy of the genetic code in two manners: having more than one tRNA (with a specific anti-codon) for a particular amino acid; and 'wobble' base-pairing, i.e. permitting non-standard base-pairing at the 3rd anti-codon position. The record is from RNAcentral. Lineage: Bacteria; Candidatus Moraniibacteriota.